UAAAUGCAAAAUGUAGAUGCUUUUCUAUUUUUCUCCGAACUUCUGCUGAUUUUUGCACUUUAUUUAAUGAUGCUCCUUGUUCUGUUUCCCCCUCCUGAAAUCUUCCGAAUGCCCUUACAUCAAAGUGUGUGAAAGCUGGUACACUCGUGCACGUUCUUUAGAAGAAAUGUAAGUUCGGAAAUGUCUUCUGAUGUUGUGUUUGCUCCGUGAUUAUUUUUCAGCCUUAUAAAAUUUAUAGCUUAAUUUCCCUUCUCUUAUCCUUUUGUGCUGCCGCCUUCGUUACCUUUCAGCCUUCACACUCUGUCAGCCUGGUUUUCUGAAAACCCCGCCGUCUCCUUUUGAUCAAAAGGUUUUUGUUCCUGCACAGUGCUCUCAGCCUUCAACAUCUGCUGUUCUGCUUCAGCACAAAAUUGACUGCCCGAAGACUCUUGUCAAAUUCACGAUGGCAGUGCCGACGCAGUCAGUAGCAUUGGUGCUUUCAGUGACCCCAUAGGAAGGCUGGCUCUUGCCCUCAGCUUGCCAUUCACCCACACCUCUGGAGCGAGGAUUUGCUUGGGUUUUCUGCAUUGCAGGAUCGUAGUGGUGUCUCCUAGCAACUUGGCUGAAAAAUGAACAUCCAGCAGGGAUGCUCUGACUGCUACGUAAAACCGUGUUUCUCUUGAUGAGGCUAACUCAACCAUCUUCACUGCUGUCCUCUGCACUAAAUGUUGUGCCGUACUGUUGAAAGCGCUUCUCAAGAUCAGCAUUAAAGGUAUAAUCUUUUAAAAAGACUGCUGUUGUUAGUUGUAAACAAUCACUCCUCUUUGAGAUUUCACAGGUACUGUGACCAAAGCUUAUAUGGAAAGUACUUUUCAAUUGACAAGUGGGACACGGUGACAGCACUGCAAGAUCUACACAGGCAGUAAGCCUGAAGGGGUAGGUCUGCUUGACAAACUCCUGGUGUGCCUUUAACCCAUGUACUUCUCUCUUUGUGCCAUACACCUGCAUCCAUGCAUAGCAACAUCGUGGCUGAAUUUUUCCUGUAGAUGAGGCUGGGUGUACAUCAGAAGCUUUCGAAGUCCACACCAUUGCCUCUCUCUCAGAUUUUAAUUUCUUGGGGACAUGUUGUAAAAGCUGCAUGUAAUAUAAAUCUUUGAGGAUACAGAAGCUAUAUGGGAGCUUUCCUACCAUCACUGCCCAGUGUCUGAAAAAUAGUUUUCUUCACUUUGCUAUUUAAACUGCAGGCAGGUGA
RNAcentral lists this long non-coding RNA (1231 nucleotides) under Gallus gallus (chicken). RNAcentral's name for it is "long non-coding RNA NONGGAT000993". Lineage: Eukaryota; Metazoa; Chordata; Aves; Galliformes; Phasianidae. The record is from RNAcentral.